GUGGGGAAUAUUGGACAAUGGGCGCAAGCCUGAUCCAGCCAUGCCGCGUGAGUGAUGAAGGCCUUAGGGUUGUAAAGCUCUUUCAGUAGGGAAGAUAAUGACGGUACCUACAGAAGAAGCCCCGGCUAACUUCGUGCCAGCAGCCGCGGUAAUACGAAGGGGGCUAGCGUUGUUCGGAUUUACUGGGCGUAAAGCGCACGUAGGCGGAUUGGUCAGUUAGAGGUGAAAUCCCGAAGCUCAACUUCGGAACUGCCUUUAAUACUGCCAGUCUCGAGUCCGGAAGAGGUGAGUGGAACUCCUAGUGUAGAGGUGGAAUUCGUAGAUAUUAGGAAGAACACCAGUGGCGAAGGCGGCUCACUGGUCCGGUACUGACGCUGAGGUGCGAAAGCGUGGGGAGCAAACAGGAUUAGAAACCCGGGUAGUCC
RNAcentral lists this ribosomal RNA (425 nucleotides) under uncultured bacterium. Its description in RNAcentral is "bacterial SSU rRNA". It matches the Rfam family "Bacterial small subunit ribosomal RNA", at positions 354 to 796 of the family's 1533-position model. The record is from RNAcentral.